GACGAACGCUUGCGGCGUGCCUAAGAAAUGCAAGUCGAGCGAGCUUAGCCCUUCGGGGCGACGGCUAGCGGCGAACGGUCGAGUAACACGUGAGCAACCUGCCCUGAAGAGGGGGAUAGCCCAGCGAAAGUUGGAUUAAUACCGCAUGUGGUCACAGAGCGGCAUCGUUUUGUGAUUAAAGCAGCAAUGCGCUUCAGGAUGGGCUCGCGGCCUAUCAGCUUGUUGGUGGGGUAAUGGCCUACCAAGGCAUCUACGGGUAGCUGGUCUGAGAGGAUGGUCAGCCGGAUUGGGACUGAGAUACGGCCCAGACUCCUACGGGGGGCAGCAAUUAGGAAUCUUGCGCAAUGGGCGAAAGCCUGACGCAGCGACGCCGCGUGACCGACGAA
This 386-nucleotide ribosomal RNA is filed under the name uncultured bacterium. Its description in RNAcentral is "bacterial SSU rRNA". It matches the Rfam family "Bacterial small subunit ribosomal RNA", at positions 28 to 412 of the family's 1533-position model. The record is from RNAcentral.